This 447-nucleotide ribosomal RNA is filed under the name uncultured bacterium. Its description in RNAcentral is "bacterial SSU rRNA". It matches the Rfam family "Bacterial small subunit ribosomal RNA", at positions 355 to 825 of the family's 1533-position model. The record is from RNAcentral.
UCGGGAAUUUUGGGCAAUGGGCGAAAGCCUGACCCAGCAACGCCGCGUGAAGGAUGAAGUCUCUCGGGAUGUAAACUUCGUAAGAAUAGGAAGAAUAAAUGACGGUACUAUUUAUAAGGUCCGGCUAACUACGUGCCAGCAGCCGCGGUAAUACGUAGGGACCAAGCGUUGUUCGGAUUUACUGGGCGUAAAGGGCGCGUAGGCGGCAUGACAAGUCACUUGUGAAAUCUCUGGGCUUAACCCAGAACGGCCAAGUGAUACUGUCGCGCUAGAGUGCAGAAGGGGCAAUCGGAAUUCUUGGUGUAGCGGUGAAAUGCGUAGAUAUCAAGAGGAACACCUGAGGUGAAGACGGGUUGCUGGGCUGACACUGACGCUGAGGCGCGAAAGCCAGGGGAGCAGACGGGAUUAGAUACCCAAGUAGUCCCUGAGCGGGCUGGCAAGGCGCAU